GUAUAUGCUACCAAACAUUACAUUAUCAUGCAUUUUCUAGUAUUGUAGUUGGUUUGUAGCUGACUGCCUAAGAACCGGUAAAAGAACCCUGGAAACGACUCUAGAAACUAACCCAACAGCAGUCUAGUCAGUUAUGGUGAUAUGCAUUUGAGUUCAUUGUAUGACUCUUGCUACUUGGUUCUGACUCUAAGCAUGCAUUGGAAACAAAAUACCAUAUUUGCUCGGUCAUCAGCUUAAAUUGGGUACCCUGAAUCACAAUCUUUAACAUAAAUGAGCGAUGCAAUGCGUCCAUUGUGUGUCGGCACCUUAAAUUCCCAACAAGGUCAGUCACGUAACAUAUAUAUUAGAGCCAUACUUCCAGUGUUGGAAACAUAAUGAUGCUAGUAUCAAUCAAAAACAAAAUCCAGACAGAUUAAAUCACCAUAUAAAACAUGUAUAACCAAACUCAGGUCCUUACAAUUAUAGAUAUACAAACAUAAUCUUUUCAAAUAUCCAAUUUUCACAAAACAAAUACAAUUUAACUCACAAAGACACUCGAAAAUUAGGUUUUAGCUUAGGAAGAUACAUCUAAUUCUAUAACCUGAAGACAGAUAUGCACUGAAGAACAGCAUAUAACAAAGCUAUACACAAACAAAAUAAAACAAACCUCUUCAAGCUCAGUGUAAACUCUUCAAGUUCAGUGGAACCUCUUCAAGCCUCCAAACCUCCAAAUCUGUUCAAUAAUGAAAAACCCCAAAAUUAGUGAAAACAAACUCAAUCGAAAUAAACCUAAUUACAAAAAAAUUAGGUGCUUCAGGGUGAGAAAUUAGGUGAUUCUCGAAGCACCAAAAGUACCAAUUUGAUGCUUCCUCCAAUUUGGGGUUCAAUUGAAACCCUAAUUUGAUGCGGAGGAGAUGUGAG
RNAcentral lists this long non-coding RNA (900 nucleotides) under Daucus carota (carrot). RNAcentral's name for it is "long non-coding RNA (DCAR_LNC005620)". The record is from RNAcentral. Lineage: Eukaryota; Viridiplantae; Streptophyta; Magnoliopsida; Apiales; Apiaceae.